RNAcentral lists this ribosomal RNA (312 nucleotides) under Branchiomaldane vincenti. Its description in RNAcentral is "eukaryotic LSU rRNA". It matches the Rfam family "Eukaryotic large subunit ribosomal RNA", at positions 666 to 946 of the family's 3401-position model. Lineage: Eukaryota; Metazoa; Annelida; Polychaeta; Arenicolidae. The record is from RNAcentral.
CCAAGGAGUCUAACACGUGUGCGAGUCAUGGAGCGAUACGAAACUCAAAGGCGCAAUGAAAGUGAAGGCGGAUCUCUGGUUCGCCUAGGUAAGACGGUUUCCGUCACGGCGGGGGCAAGCACUACCGGCCCGUCUCGAUCUCACCGUGGAUGAGGCGGAGCGAGAGCACAUGCGUUGGGACCCGAAAGAUGGUGAACUAUGCCUGAGCAGGACGAAGCCAGAGGAAACUCUGGUGGAAGUCCGUAGCGAUUCUGACGCGCAAAUCAAUCGUCGAACUUUGGUAUAGGGGCGAAAGACUAAUCGAACCAUCUA